This 506-nucleotide ribosomal RNA is filed under the name uncultured bacterium. RNAcentral describes it as "partial 16S ribosomal RNA". It matches the Rfam family "Bacterial small subunit ribosomal RNA", at positions 28 to 523 of the family's 1533-position model. The record is from RNAcentral.
GAUGAACGCUAGCUACAGGCUUAACACAUGCAAGUCGAGGGGUAACGAGAGGAAAGCUUGCUUUCCUUGUCGACGACCGGCGCACGGGUGAGUAACGCGUAUCCAACCUGCCCCCAACUAGGGAAUAACCUUGCGAAAGUAAGACUAAUACCCUAUAAUUUCCUCAGAUGUCAUCUGACGAGGAAUAAAGAUUUAUCGGUUGUGGAUGGGGAUGCGUCUGAUUAGCUUGUUGGCGGGGUAACGGCCCACCAAGGCAACGAUCAGUAGGGGUUUUGAUAGGAAGGUCCCCCACAUUGGAACUGAGACACGGUCCAAACUCCUACGGGAGGCAGCAGUGAGGAAUAUUGGUCAAUGGGCGGAAGCCUGAACCAGCCAAGUAGCGUGCAGGAUGACGGCCCUAUGGGUUGUAAACUGCUUUUAUACAGGAAUAAAGUUAGCCACGUGUGGUUAUUUGUAGGUACUGUAUGAAUAAGGACCGGCUGAUUCCGUGCCAGCAGCCGCCGUAA